Molecule: non-coding RNA, 386 nt
Organism: Osmia lignaria (orchard mason bee)
Lineage: Eukaryota; Metazoa; Arthropoda; Insecta; Hymenoptera; Megachilidae
Source: RefSeq, a predicted model, not a curated record
UUUCUUUUUCUAUAUUUUCAGUAUUUAUUCAGACAUUGAUGAGGAAAUUACAACCAAAAAAUUAUGGAGUAGAAAAGUUGAAUAGUUACAUUACAGAAAUUGAACAGUGUGGAAUGAAAUACUAGGACAAAUAACAAAGACGUAUUCUGAAAAUAGAUGCAAUUACUUUCUCGCAUGAUAUAUCUGGAAAUAUGUUUAAGCGUUUGAUCAGACAUGGAGGGGAAAAUUGCAACAGAGAUAUUAUAGAGUGGAAGUAUUAAAUGGACACAGUGGAGAAAUUAUUCAAGCAAGAGCAGUAUUAAAUUAGAUAAGUUUGUCUUGCACGUCACAGACUUUAAAAACAAUGUAAUACCAGCAUAUUUCAAAUAAAUAGUUUAAUAGAAGUA